UUUACUACUUGGCGGCGAGCGGCGGACGGCUGAGUAACGCGUAGGAACGUGCCCCAAAGUGAGGAAUAACUGCCCGAAAGGGUGGCUAAUGCCGCAUAUGAUCUUCGGAUUAAAGUCUUCGGACGCUUUGGGAGCGGCCUGCGUUAGAUUAGGUAGUUGGUGAGGUAAUGGCUCACCAAGCCGACGAUCUAUAGCUGGUCUGAGAGGAUGAUCAGCCAGACUGGGACUGAGACACGGCCCAG
Molecule: ribosomal RNA, 242 nt
Filed under: uncultured bacterium
Lineage: Bacteria
Description: partial 16S ribosomal RNA
Rfam family: Bacterial small subunit ribosomal RNA
Source: RNAcentral